RNAcentral lists this long non-coding RNA (2583 nucleotides) under Olea europaea subsp. europaea. Lineage: Eukaryota; Viridiplantae; Streptophyta; Magnoliopsida; Lamiales; Oleaceae. The record is from RNAcentral.
AGAAAAUUGUGUUCGUUGUAUGCUCCGUGCCCAAGGUGACGAUCUUGAACCGUUUGAUUCGGAGAUAGAACAUACUUUCAGACGAAGACGCAAUGAACACAAAUAAAAACAGCAACAUCAAAUGGCUGACAAUCAACAAAUCCAUAUCCCUAUUCAGCCGAUUGGGCAAAUGGCCGCAAGAGUGGUGGCACCACCGGAACAGCAGCAUGAGCGAGGGGAAAUAAAUGAAGGUGAUUUGCCAGUAUCAAUAUUCGUGACACUUAUAGCAGCACCCAUGCGCUCCAGUAUUAUGUAUCCAGAUUUUGGGGUGAAUAACUUUCAGAUCAGGUCGGAUUGGAUUAACUCGGUGAGCAACACUCUGCAAUUCUACAGGCUACCUCAUGAGAAUCCGAACACGCAUAUCUCCAGAUUUCUUAGAAAUUGUCAGAACUUCCAUACUCUGGGAGUCAAUGAAGAUGCUAUUAAACUACGAUUAUUCCCAUUUACAUUGAGAGAUGCUGCAUUGGAGUGGUUAGAUGCGGAGCCUCAUGCCAGCAUUACUACAUGGGAAGAACUAAUCAGGAAAUUCUGCAACAAAUUCUUCCCACCAGCCAGAGUAGCUAAAAUCAGAUUGGAAAUUCAAACUUUUCAAUAGAAAGAGGGAGAAAGCUAUCACGAGGCAUGGAAUAGAUUUAAUGAGCUAAUGAGAAAAUGUCCAAACCAUGGAAUCACUCAAGGAAACCAAGCGCAGUACUUCUACACUGGAGUUACACCAUUGUCAAAAUCUCAAGUUGAUGCCUCUGUUGGAGGAUCAAUCAUAGGGAAAUCAAUGCAACAAACCAUAAACCUAUUUGAGUUAAUUGCCACCACACAUUCAAUGUUCUCAUCAGAAAGAGUGGUACCACCAAAGGCAGCAGGAAUGUGUGAAUUAGACAGCACAACAUCUACCAAUGCAUAGAUAGCAGCUUUAACAAAACAGAUAGAGUUACUUGUAAAAUUGCAAACACAUGGAGCAAAUGCAAUGAUGGCCAGUUCAGUAUGUGAGAAUUGUGGGAGAAAUCACGCUAUAGAGAGCUGCAUGAUGCUCACUUCUUCAGAGGAACAAGUAAACUUUAUUCAAAAUAGCUCCUGUAAUUUCAACUCAUAUGGUAACAAUUUCCAGCAAGAAAGAAGACCAAGUUUGGGGGAGAUGUUUUAACAAUAUGUGCAAAAGACGGACAAGGUGUUCCAACAAAUUGACAUGAACUUUCAAAAUCAGCAGGCAUCCAUCAAGAAACUAGAGACACAAAUUGGUCAGAUAGUACAACAACUUGCAGAACGUUCACAAGGGACAUUGCCAGGCAAUACAAUGAUAAAUCCUAAGGAACAGUUGAUGGCAAUUAAGGUAGUGGAGAACGAUCCACCCUGGGCUCCCUUAAAAGUUAAAGCACAUGUACCUCCACUUCCGUUUUCCCAAAGACUUCGAAAGAAGUCGAUGGAGCAUAAUAUUCAUGUCAUAAAUAUAAAGAGCGAGGUACAAUCACCAGAGAUCACUACGGAGAGACCCGAAAGAAAAGAUGACCAAGAAGUGAUUGAUGAAGCUACAAAGGUAGAAAAAUCUGCACCAAAUGCAACUGAAAAUAGAGAAGGUAUAGAAACAUCAGCUACCAAAGCACUAAGUCUAGACAAAACUUACAUGCCUCCCAUUCCCUUUCCUCAAAAGUUCAAGAAGAACAAACAAGACACAAACUAUGAAAAGUUCCUCGAUGUUCUCAAGAAGGUCCAGAUUAAUGUUCCGUUCAUAGAUGCGAUACUACAAAUUCCAAGCUAUAAGAAAUUUUUGAGAGAGAUGUUGACAAAGAAAAGAAAGCUUCUGGAGUUUGAAACUGUGGCAUUAACUGAGGAAAGUAGUGCAAGAGUUCAGAGAAAAUUGCCUCCUAAAUUGAAGGAUCCAUGGAGUUUUACUUUACCAGUUUCAAUUGGAAAUUCCUAUUCAACUAAUGCAUUGUGUGACACUGGUGCUAGUAUCAAUCUAAUGUCGUAUUCUGCUUACAGGAAAUUGGGACUAGGUGAAGUCAACUCAAUAUCAAUAACACUACAACUCGCUGAUAGAACAAUCACAAGGCCACGCGGAAAAGUUGAAGAAGUACUCGUCAAAGUAGGAAAUUUAAUAUUUCCUGUGGAUUUCAUUGUAUUGGACAUAUCAGAAGAUCGAGACAUUCCAAUUAUAUUGGGUCGACCAUUCUUAGCAACGAGACGAACCCUUAUUGACAUGGAGACAGGAGAACUAAUCUUGAGGGUGGAGGACAAGCAGGAGAUAUUCAAUAUUUACAUCCAAUAUGAGAAACCUCCCAAUAAAAAUGAUUGCUAUAGAAUUGAUGAAGAAGAGCCACCUAAUCAACGAAGCUGUCAAAAUAAAAAAACAAAUUUUGGAGAACUUCUUGGUAGAGAUAAGAAUGGACAAAUCAAAAUUUGGAGAGGAAAAAAGGACAGCAUCAACGAAAAUUGCACAGAAUGCAAUGAUGAAAUAACUUGGUUUAAGCCACCAUAAUAAACCAGCGGCACAAGUCAAGCUAAUGACUUAAAAGAAGCGCUUCUUGGGAAGCAACCCAAGCUUUUAUUUUA